This 253-nucleotide ribosomal RNA is filed under the name uncultured bacterium. Its description in RNAcentral is "partial 16S ribosomal RNA". It matches the Rfam family "Bacterial small subunit ribosomal RNA", at positions 524 to 776 of the family's 1533-position model. The record is from RNAcentral.
UACGUAGGGGGCAAGCGUUGUCCGGAAUUAUUGGGCGUAAAGAGCGCGUAGGCGGUCCGAUAAGUCGGCUGUGAAAGUCAGGGGCUCAACCCUUGAAAGCCGGCCGAUACUGUCGGACUAGAGUCCGGAAGAGGCGAGUGGAAUUCCCGGUGUAGCGGUGAAAUGCGCAGAUAUCGGGAGGAACACCAAUGGCGAAGGCAGCACUCUGGGACGGUACUGACGCUGAGACGCGAAAGCGUGGGGAGCGAACAGG